GGGCAUAUAGCUCAGAUGGUUAGAGCGCGUCGCUGAUAACGACGAGGUCUCUGGUUCGAGUCCAGAUAUGCCCACUA
This 77-nucleotide transfer RNA is filed under the name Candidatus Buchananbacteria bacterium RIFCSPHIGHO2_02_FULL_40_13. Its description in RNAcentral is "tRNA-Ile". It matches the Rfam family "tRNA". From Rfam's summary of the family: Transfer RNA (tRNA) molecules are approximately 80 nucleotides in length. Their secondary structure includes four short double-helical elements and three loops (D, anti-codon, and T loops). Lineage: Bacteria; Candidatus Buchananiibacteriota. RNAcentral also lists the same sequence under 1 other name. The record is from RNAcentral.